UGCAAGAUUUCCCCGGCGGACCCACCCGCCCCCCUCUGGGUUGCUGUCUAGUCUAGUCUCUACACUCUUUCUAGGUCUAUAUAAUGCGAGCGAUACAGCCAGCGGUAUGGACUACUACUGACCGUGACCCGGCCCGUGGAGGACGUUAGUGGAGUCGAGACGAGACCGGUGGAGAGAGUGACUGCUGUUGCUGACUUGACUGUGCCUGUGACACUCCGUUGGACUGGAGCUAAGCAUUAGACUUCUUCUGAAUCAAGUAUCUGUUGCUAUGGGAUCCACCUAUUUCCCUUGUCUACCCCAUGAACAAACCAUCAUACUUCCAUUAUGUACCUGCAGAUGGACACUUUCUAAUGUGCAAGGCACCCCUACUGCAAGUGGACUAUGGUAAUGAUGCAGAGUGUCUGAUGGAGGUGGAGCUCUAAGAGGACAAAGACAGUUCUUAAAGUGAUAAGCGGCCACCCAGAGAUGCUUAUGCUGUUCCCAUGUUAUGCUUCACUGUGUGGAGAGUACAGAGCAAGAAACUGUUGGUAAUAUUGGAGGAUGCUAGCUAUGCAGGUUGAGAAAUAAAGAUGCAGUGCUGUUUGGGGGUAGGUGGGGGUUUGGCUUGGUCUUGGAGCAGAUAGAUCAGUAGUUCGGGGAUUCUGGGAGGUAGAUGGAGAGUUUUGGAGAGACUGUACUAUUAUGAAGUGACAAAUUGUGCCCUAUUGGCUAUUAUAGCAAUAAGUGUAUGGAUUUAUAUACAGUAUUCUCACACAGAUUCAUGUUAUACCAUAGUAUUAGGCUUACAUUGGUAUUAAGAGAUUUACUAAUUGUCUGUGCCUUUUAUAUAGCUGUUAUCUGUUUUAAAUAUUAUAUAAUUGUUAUGGUAUCUUAUUCUGUUAGAAUAAAAGGGUGGAAUGUUAGAAUAUAUAUAACCAUAGUGCUGCCAUUUUGUAUCUAAGAAGCCAUGAUAAACUAAUUAUGAACUGUUGUACUGAUAUUGAACUGUUGUUUUUUUUCUGUAUUUUGUUAUAUGACAUUGUUCUUCAGGGAGUAAAAUCCUUAUCUUGUUACUAAUGUAA
Long non-coding RNA from Bombina bombina (fire-bellied toad), 1061 nucleotides. RefSeq lists it as uncharacterized. The transcript is spliced from 2 exons. The record is from RefSeq and is a predicted model, not a curated record. NCBI's taxonomy places the organism in Eukaryota, Metazoa, Chordata, Amphibia, Anura, Bombinatoridae.